This is a long non-coding RNA of Ictalurus punctatus (channel catfish), 1254 nucleotides long. Lineage: Eukaryota; Metazoa; Chordata; Actinopteri; Siluriformes; Ictaluridae. The record is from Ensembl.
GAGCAGUUGCAUGUGGGCCUCUCUAACGGCUCCUCAAUCCUGCUGCUUGAGAUAAAGGAAUGCUGUGACACAGCAGCACACACACACACACACAUACACACACACACACACACACACACACGCACACACAAACACACACACAAACACAUACAAACCCUUCCGUUGCUGUUUUUCAGAAACACACUUGUCUGGCUCGUUUUAAGCCACCUCGCCUAUUAUAGCCACAUACGUUAAAAGUUAACGUUAAACCACGUUAAAGGCCAGGUCAUUUCUAUUAUUAGUAGGAUUCCUCCACACCUUGCAGUAGGACUCCACCAUUACAGUACAGUAUUCAGUUUUUACUCCUCAUUCACAUUUUGUCCAAUACUUACCAAAAUUGGCUCAGAUGAUCAGUGGACCGAGAUGGACAAAAAUCACUGAACAGAAUUUUGAUAUUCAUAUAAAAAGUUAUGAUGUCACAGUUUUCACGAUGUUGACCCAAAAUUGGAUCAGAGGCUGUAUCUCGGCAAGACUUUGAUCAAUUGUAACGAAACUUGGUACACUUCAUCAGCCACAUGAUUUAUGGGUCCAGGCUAAAUUUGAGAACAGCGCCACCAACCUGAGAUUUGAAAAAUGAAUAUUUUUGCUUAUAACUUUUGGAUACUUUGUCAGAAAAUUAUGAUCCUGAUGUCUCAUUUUUGGUGGCAUUACAUGUGUGAUGUAGUGUGAUAAACAGGAAACAUCAAUGCUAAAGGUCCUGGGUUUGAUUUCUGUGUGGUGUAAGUUCUUAAAAGUUUGUACAAUGUUUUGUCUUUCAGUUCCUUUCGUUUGUGGCUCAAUAUUGAAGUAACCUUUCAACUUCUUGGCAUGAAAAUAAAUGCCUCUGUUCUGUUCAUUUCCCAUUCAAUCUUAUUCUCAUCUGUGCUUCUGAACCUAUCUUUUAUUCAUUGAUGUACAUUCUAUUUCUCCUCUUCAUGUUCUCCAGGCUCCGCAUUGCUCUUUCAGUGCCUUUGGUGCUUGCCCCCUUUAAAUGCUGCUUGCAGAUUUAAUUUGUAUUCUUCUGUCAGGAGAAAACCUAUUGUUAUUGUUAGUCUUCUCCUUCUUCCUCUUCUUCUUCUUAUUAGUCUCCUCAUCUCUCUAAAGUGCUCAAUAACUCAAGAUCUAAAUGGUAAAAAGUUCUAAAAUUUGGCAGAUUGAUACUACAGGCCCCGAAUAACUGCCCCACCAUAAAUUACCCAGAUGAGCCCAUAGGUGUCGCUACAGGCCAUUCCCUCC